Long non-coding RNA from Sceloporus undulatus (fence lizard), 489 nucleotides. RefSeq lists it as uncharacterized. The record is from RefSeq and is a predicted model, not a curated record. The transcript is spliced from 3 exons. NCBI's taxonomy places the organism in Eukaryota, Metazoa, Chordata, Lepidosauria, Squamata, Phrynosomatidae.
AAUCUGGCCAGCACAAAGUGUCUUCACAGCGAUUGUGAAAGUUGCAAGAGUGUCUCCACCCAUCACUUCAUUAGAGGCUAAUCCUUACACUGGGCAGGACAGAAGAACCUGGGAACUGCGUACAUAAGCCACCUGAGAUACUCAGAAGACUGAGACAUCACCAAGAGAAGAUACCCAGCAAAAACAUCACUGCCUUGUAAAGGUGAACCCAGCAAGCUCCCAAGAUGUGUAACUUGGAUUGUGUUGCAAAUGCAUUCAGGGCAGUUUUUCGGUUGUUGAAGGGCAUAUUUGACAAGGCGAAAGAAGUUGCAGAACAUCCCUUUGAGGCACCCCCUAAGCCGGCGAUUGAAAAGGGGGACUGAGGUUGAAGACAGCAGCUGCUUAUUUUCUUUGGGAAUAAACCCUGCUGUUGUCUUCUUUUCUUCCAACCCUGUUGAUGGCAGGAAUAUCCCCUUUAUUGUCAAGGGGCUCUGUGUUACAUUGACACAA